This 846-nucleotide long non-coding RNA is filed under the name Nicotiana benthamiana. RNAcentral describes it as "long non-coding RNA (NBEN_LNC040928)". Lineage: Eukaryota; Viridiplantae; Streptophyta; Magnoliopsida; Solanales; Solanaceae. The record is from RNAcentral.
GAGGAUCAACGGACAGAAACUGUAAGAUAAACCUUAAAGAGAUGUGUGCAGAUCUUUAAAACAAAAGAUACAUCCCUUGGAUUUUGUUAGCUCCCUGAACUUACCAUAGGAAUCUCUUAUGUAAUGGAGCUAGCAUUAUCUUUUGUACCUACUUCAUCUUCUUGAUGCCAUUAACGAACUUACUUAGUAUAUCAAAAAUAAGAAUAAAAAUAGCAGAUACAUCCUCCACUCUUUUGUACCUACUUCAUCUUCUUUAUGCCAUUAACGAACUUACUUAGUAUAUCAAAAAUAAGAAUAAAAAUAGCAGAUACAGCCUCCAUUCUAAAAGAAUAACAAAGUUUAAAGUAUGAGAAUCAACUGUUCUACUUUCGGCAGACAUUUGGAUAUCGCUUCCACAAUUUUAUAAAUUAUUUCGAACCUACACAGAAUACUCCCUCCAUCAUAUUUUAAGUGAAUGUGCUUGGUUGACUGGACACAGAGUUUAGGGUAUUUCAAUCAGAGUGAAAGAAAAUAGUAAAGUAGGGACAAAUGAGUUCAUAGAGAAAACAACAUAUCAAAGUUUCGGAGCUAAAUCUUUAAUGAGUUUGAAAUUCUUUAAAAUUGUAAGAAAAAAAUGUAUAGGAUAAUACUAUUAGUUGCACGGCAUAAAACAUUUUGAACGGCCCGAAAAUGAAAGUGUCAUGUAACUUUGAGUGACGGGAGUACUAUAAAUUACAACUUUUUACAAUUAAAAAUAUUUUUAAAAUGAUUGAAGAAAAUGUAGUAAAAGAAACAUCAACUUCCCAAAUGAUAACAGUAACGUAUAUAAUAGGGCAGAAGAAAAAAUGUAAAGGUGUACAGUUUUAC